Pipistrellus kuhlii (Kuhl's pipistrelle) is the source of this 245-nucleotide long non-coding RNA. RefSeq lists it as uncharacterized. The transcript has 3 exons. Lineage: Eukaryota; Metazoa; Chordata; Mammalia; Chiroptera; Vespertilionidae. The record is from RefSeq and is a predicted model, not a curated record.
CAGGCUACUGAUUUCCAUUUUGGCUUCUGGGAUAUUUCAUGUUCCCUUGAGAGUGGUGCCAGACCCAGGAAAUCAAAUUGCUCUCUGCUCGUCCAAGGCAGUGGCCAUGAACGUGACCCCACAAAAAAGCAGUCAACGAAAAGUCCACAGGUGGUCUCCCUGAACUCUGCUUCUCGCAGGCACCAGCUAUCUUCUCUGGUCACAACCCAAGUCCACACCCAAGGCUCAGGUCCACAUGACUCCCA